UUAGGAAUAUUGGACAAUGGGCGAAAGCCUGAUCCAGCCAUGCCGCGUGUGUGAUGAAGGCCCUAGGGUUGUAAAGCACUUUCGUUGGGGAUGAUAAUGACCGUACCCAAAGAAGAAGCCACGGCUAAAUUCGUGCCAGCAGCCGCGGUAAUACGAAUGUGGCAAGCGUUGUUCGGAAUCACUGGGCGUAAAGAAUGCGUAGGCGGCUUAGCAAGUCAGGAGUGAAAUCCCAGGGCUCAACCUUGGAACUGCUCUUGAAACUGCUUUGCUAGAGUCCCGGAGGGGUUGGCGGAAUUCCGAGUGUAGAGGUGAAAUUCGCAGAUAUUCGGAGGAACACCAGUGGCGAAGGCGGCCAACUGGACGGGAACUGACGCUGAGGCAUGAAAGUGUGGGGAGCAAA
This 400-nucleotide ribosomal RNA is filed under the name uncultured bacterium. RNAcentral describes it as "bacterial SSU rRNA". It matches the Rfam family "Bacterial small subunit ribosomal RNA", at positions 355 to 772 of the family's 1533-position model. The record is from RNAcentral.